RNAcentral lists this ribosomal RNA (492 nucleotides) under uncultured bacterium. RNAcentral's name for it is "partial 16S ribosomal RNA". It matches the Rfam family "Bacterial small subunit ribosomal RNA", at positions 29 to 507 of the family's 1533-position model. The record is from RNAcentral.
AGUGAACGCUGGCGGUAGGCCUAACACAUGCAAGUCGAACGGCAGCACAGUAAGAGCUUGCUCUUACGGGUGGCGAGUGGCGGACGGGUGAGGAAUACAUCGGAAUCUACUUUUUCGUGGGGGAUAACGUAGGGAAACUUACGCUAAUACCGCAUACGACCUACGGGUGAAAGCAGGGGAUCUUCGGACCUUGCGCGAUUGAAUGAGCCGAUGUCGGAUUAGCUAGUUGGCGGGGUAAAGGCCCACCAAGGCGACGAUCCGUAGCUGGUCUGAGAGGAUGAUCAGCCACACUGGAACUGAGACACGGUCCAGACCCCUACGGGAGGCAGCAGUGGGGAAUAUUGGACAAUGGGCGCAAGCCUGAUCCAGCAAUACCGCGUGGGUGAAGAAGGCUUUCGGGUUGUAAAGCCUUUUUGUUGGGAAAGAAAAGCAGCAGGUUAAUACCCCGCUGUUCUGACGGUACCCAAAGAAUAAGCACCGGCUAACUUCGUG